This 253-nucleotide ribosomal RNA is filed under the name uncultured bacterium. RNAcentral describes it as "partial 16S ribosomal RNA". It matches the Rfam family "Bacterial small subunit ribosomal RNA", at positions 524 to 776 of the family's 1533-position model. The record is from RNAcentral.
UACGUAGGGGGCAAGCGUUGUCCGGAAUUAUUGGGCGUAAAGCGCGCGCAGGCGGUUGUCUAAGUCUGCUGUGAAAUCUCCCGGCUCAACCCGGGAGGGUCGUGGCGAACGGGCAGGCUUGAGGCCGGUAGAGGUGGGUGGAACUCCUGGUGGAGUGGUGAAAUGCGUAGAGAUCAGGAAGAACACCCGUGGCGAAGGCGGCCCACUGGGCCGGACCUGACGCUGAGGCACGAAGGCGUGGGGAGCGAACGGG